Molecule: ribosomal RNA, 1024 nt
Filed under: Ctenomyces indicus
Lineage: Eukaryota; Fungi; Ascomycota; Eurotiomycetes; Onygenales; Arthrodermataceae
Description: SSU rRNA
Rfam family: Eukaryotic small subunit ribosomal RNA
Source: RNAcentral
GCAUUUGUACGGUGAACUGCGAAUGGCUCAUUAAAUCAGUUAUCGUUUAUCCUGAUAGUACCUUACUACAUGGAUACCUGUGGUAAUUCUAGAGCUAAUACAUGCUAAAAACCUCGACUUCGGAAGGGGUGUAUUUAUUAGAUAAAAAACCAAUGCCCUUCGGGGCUCUCUGGUGAUUCAUAAUAACUUCUCGAAUCGCAUGGCCUUGCGCCGGCGAUGGUUCAUUCAAAUUUCUGCCCUAUCAACUUUCGAUGGUAGGAUAGUGGCCUACCAUGGUGGCAACGGGUAACGGGGAAUUAGGGUUCGAUUCCGGAGAGGGAGCCUGAGAAACGGCUACCACAUCCAAGGAAGGCAGCAGGCGCGCAAAUUACCCAAUCCCGAUACGGGGAGGUAGUGACAAUAAAUACUGAUACAGGGCUCUUUCGGGUCUUGUAAUUGGAAUGAGUACAAUUUAAACCCCUUAACGAGGAACAAUUGGAGGGCAAGUCUGGUGCCAGCAGCCGCGGUAAUUCCAGCUCCAAUAGCGUAUAUUAAAGUUGUUGCAGUUAAAAAGCUCGUAGUUGAACCUUGGGCCUGGCUGGCCGGUCCGCCUCACGGCGUGCACUGGUCCGGCUGGGCCUUUCCUUCUGGGGAACGUCAUGGCCUUCACUGGCUGUGGCGGGAACCAGGACUUUUACUGUGAAAAAAUUAGAGUGUUCAAAGCAGGCCUUUGCUCGGAUACAUUAGCAUGGAAUAAUAAAAUAGGACGUGUGGUUCUAUUUUGUUGGUUUCUAGGACCGCCGUAAUGAUUAAUAGGGAUAGUCGGGGGCGUCAGUAUUCGGCUGUCAGAGGUGAAAUUCUUGGAUUUGCUGAAGACUAACUACUGCGAAAGCAUUCGCCAAGGAUGUUUUCAUUAAUCAGUGAACGAAAGUUAGGGGAUCGAAGACGAUCAGAUACCGUCGUAGUCUUAACCAUAAACUAUGCCGACUAGGGAUCGGACGGGGUUUCUUUUAUGACCCGUUCGGCACCUUACGAGAAAUCAAAG